This is an RNA transcript of Cygnus atratus (black swan), 1995 nucleotides long. It is a transcript of the gene named XK related 6, with no coding region annotated. NCBI's taxonomy places the organism in Eukaryota, Metazoa, Chordata, Aves, Anseriformes, Anatidae. The transcript is spliced from 3 exons. The record is from RefSeq and is a predicted model, not a curated record.
CGGCGGGGUAGGAGGAGCCGGCGGCACCACCACCCCCGGGGCGCAGCGCCUCUGCAGGAUCUCCGUGUGGGUCUGGCAGUCCGUCAUCCACCUGCUGCAGAUGGGACAGGUCUGGAGCUUAAGCAAAAGACGUGAAGCGUUAAGGCUGGAUUGGCGCUGUUUUGACAUCAUCUGAUUUCAUCAGAGAAGGUGCUGUAGGAUCAUCCUCUGAAAGACAACAGAAUGAUCUGAAAGGUUAUUAUGGGUUGUGAGAUGCUCCAGUACUUGGAUCAGUGUGUUUCAUUCAAUGUUGAGAAGGAGUGGGCUGGGUUUUGUUUGCUUUUCUUCAGCUGAUGUCGUUGUAACUCGGCGUAGCAGUCCCAGCUGAGGCAUACCUACGUACAUAAAACAUGACAACACCGUGUGUAGAGCAAACGAAGCCAUCCCUGGGCAGAAAAAGUCCCCGAGGAGCUGGUGAACACUAAUGGGAAGGGGGAAGCUUUGGCUGAGGAGCUGUUGAGAGGGAAUAGAUGCCAGAAGUGUGAUGAGAACUGUGAUGCCCACACGGACCAAAUGCAGCUCCUUUUGGCCUAGCAGCCUGCUGACUUCCACGGAAGGACCAAGAGUGCAGGGGAUCCUCACCCUUGCCGGAGGUUUAGCAAGGUUUCUGCUCAGGUGUGAAUGAAAGGGAGAAGGAAAAUCUCUCUCCCGUGCCAGGCUGAGGCAGCAUCUGCUGGGACAGCGCGGUCUCGCGUCGCUGAAGGUUGCGAAGCCUCAGGUGAGGUCUCAGACACAGUGGGAGCUUUGCUGCUGGCUUGGUGAUAGCUGGGACUUCCCUUCCGAGCCAGAGAGCUGUUGGCUGCUUUUAAUUCCCCCCUGUGCUCUGCUCUGUCCUCUUCAGCACAGCACUGAGUCCUCUGCCAGGGUGAUGCACGAGCUGUCGUGAGCCGUGGUUAUGGGGUUGCAUGAGACAGGUUAGGAAAAAAACAAGCAUCCAUUGAUAUUUACAUUUAUUUUUAUAUAUUUUAAUUUAUACGCAUAUAUUUCAUUUUUUAUAUAUACACAUAUAUGUUUAAAACUAUCCUGGGACUUGCGGACUGAGAUCAGACGUGAUGGGAUUCGGAUGACGACACCCUGCCCGUAACCAAGCGGACAGACCUGCGUAACGAGGCUUUGACUUCGCUGCAGACCUGCUGUCUGUCCCCAGCCGUAGAUUUCCUUCGUAAAAGCCUGUUAAAAUAGCUCUGCUCUCUGGGAUAUUUAACUCGCUGUGUUUUCACUUAGCCACGCUGAACCUUGUGGAAGGGAGUAUUCCAGCUUCCAGUCCGGUGUGCAUCUAGAGUUCAGAAAUCUCCGCAGAAGAUUAAGCAAGUUAGAGAGAGAAAUUACUCCUGAUCCCUUUCUGCCAGCAUAGGAUUAUCCCCCAGCAUACUGGUUUUGAAGUUUAUGUCUAAUCCAGUCUUACACAUCCCUGGGGACCGGGCUCCUUACGAUUUCUGCGGAGCAGUUGUGGCGCAGCGUCUGAUUUAGAGGUACUUACUCGGCACCGAGAUACAAUUUGCAUUUCCAUUACUGCAGCCCAUUUCAUCCUGUGCCAUAUACAUAAUGCUGCUACUUUGUGGUGUACGGCUUUCAGAGGCAUAUGGAUCAUUAUCGUGCUCGUGCUAUUCUAUGCGCUCACUACGCUCUUAGCUCGGCUCUACAGAUUUGAACCCCAGCCUUGCAAACAGCUGCGUGGGACUCGUGUGCAGGUCUUUGAACUGUUGAACGUAUUUAUGUACAAAAGGGCUUGUGUCCUGUGCAAAUGAUAGUAUGUAAGGACAGGUGGCAUGAAAUAAGGUGAAAAGACCCGCAUGCACAGAAAUAGUGGUAGUCAAGGCAAAGAGGAGGCUCCUGUUGCUGCUUUCCAGGCUCAGUGGUCACUUUGGAGCUUUUCGAUGCACUGCAUUUUUAUGCACGGUGAAUUUGUAAAAACAUAUUUUAUUUUUUUUUUAAUAAAUGUAUACUUUCAGGCUU